UUAAAGUUCGUCUGCAGACUAAGUUCUCUUGUAAUCUAUCAUAUCUGGAACUUUGUGCCGGAGAGGUGGCCACCUCUCACGGUCACUUGACCGGCCAACCCGCUAGAUGACUCACGGUCACUGGUGUACACUAGCCCUGGCAGGAUAGCUAUCAACUGCUCAGGACCCGAAUUCGAUUACAUAACUGGCAAAGCCACAUCAGAUAGAUAUCAUACUAAAAUUCAAACAUUUUAUGGCAAGACAACAGUUGUAAUAUUUUUCAGUUCAAAG
Molecule: long non-coding RNA, 270 nt
Filed under: Salvia miltiorrhiza (redroot sage)
Lineage: Eukaryota; Viridiplantae; Streptophyta; Magnoliopsida; Lamiales; Lamiaceae
Description: long non-coding RNA (SMIL_LNC000885)
Source: RNAcentral